RNAcentral lists this ribosomal RNA (242 nucleotides) under uncultured bacterium. RNAcentral describes it as "partial 16S ribosomal RNA". It matches the Rfam family "Bacterial small subunit ribosomal RNA", at positions 1251 to 1500 of the family's 1533-position model. The record is from RNAcentral.
UACCCACGCAAUGGGAUGCGAAUCUCGAAAGCCUGUCCCAGUUCGGACUGGAGUCUGCAACCCGACUCCACGAAGUUGGAUUCGCUAGUAAUCGCGCAUCAGCCAUGGCGCGGUGAAUACGUUCCCGGGCCUUGUACACACCGCCCGUCAAGCCAUGGGAGCCGGGGGCGCCUGAAGUCCGGGACCGCGAGGACCGGCCUAGGGCGAAACUGGUAACUGGGGCUAAGUCGUAACAAGGUAGC